Molecule: RNase P RNA, 378 nt
Filed under: Zophobihabitans entericus
Lineage: Bacteria; Pseudomonadati; Pseudomonadota; Gammaproteobacteria; Orbales; Orbaceae
Description: Bacterial RNase P class A
Rfam family: Bacterial RNase P class A
About the family: Ribonuclease P (RNase P) is a ubiquitous endoribonuclease, found in archaea, bacteria and eukarya as well as chloroplasts and mitochondria. Its best characterised activity is the generation of mature 5'-ends of tRNAs by cleaving the 5'-leader elements of precursor-tRNAs.
Source: Rfam by way of RNAcentral
GAAAUUGGCCAGACAAUCGCUGCUUUGUUGUUGUCCUUCGGGAGACAAACAGAGGGGAGGAAAGUCCGGGCUCCAUAGGGCAGAGUGCCAGGUAACGCCUGGGGAGUCUUUGCGAGAGCAAAAAUUCACGACAAGUGCAACAGAAAGUAAACCGCCGAUGGCUUAGGCACAGGUAAGGGUGAAAGGGUGCGGUAAGAGCGCACCGCGCAACUGGUAACAGUUUGUGGCACGGUAAACUCCACUCGGAGCAAGGUCAAAUAGGGAUCCAUUGGCGCGGCCCGCGUUGGAUCCGGGUAGACUGCUUGAGCUAAUAUGUGAAUAUUAGCCUAGAUGAAUGAUUGUCCACGACAGAACCCGGCUUAUCGGCUGAUUUCAAUA